Molecule: long non-coding RNA, 1659 nt
Filed under: Anas platyrhynchos platyrhynchos (common mallard)
Lineage: Eukaryota; Metazoa; Chordata; Aves; Anseriformes; Anatidae
Description: lncRNA (ENSAPLG00000028829.1)
Source: RNAcentral
UAUUUAUACAUCUUGUUAUUGAUAAGUGUGGGGCUUUGCAGAGCUCCCUUCCCCCUUCCCCAAGUGCCCCCUUCCCCACGGGUGCCCCCUUUCCCCCGCACCGGGCUCCCCCCGCGCCCCGCAUGCGGGAGCCCCUCGGAAGGAAGACACGCGUGGGCGUGGGGUCCCCCCGCGGAAAGCAGCGAGCUGCGAGCUGCCGAACCCGGCCGGAGCUUUUUAUUUGCUUCAUUUCGUUCCCCCCCACACCUCCCCCCUGCCAGCACUGCUCUCCCGGGCGGCCGCUGUCACCGGGGAGACCGGGGCAGCCCCGGCCGCAUCGGCACGCUGGAUGUCCCGGCGGAUUUUCUCACAGUUUGCGGGAGGCGCAGACAUGGAAAUGAGCUCAUUACGGGGGGGAGUGGCAGCCCUGGAGGCCUCCCCGCCCCCGGCCCGGCCCGGCCCGGCCCGGCUCGGCCCGGCCCGCUGCAACCCCGGGGGCUGCGGGAGAGCCCCCUCCUCUCGGUGUUUUUUGGUUUUUUUUUUGGGGGGGGGGGGGGAGAGCGCAGAGCCCCACAGUGGGCGCUCUUAACCCCCUGCACGCCGGGGGGCCGCUGCUGCCGGCGGGGGCGGCCUGGAGAGCCCCGAGGACCCCCCUUCGUAUCCCCCCUCUUCCCUCCCCUCCGGCCUGCACCCCCGCAGCCCCCGCCCCCGAGCUCCCACGGGCAGCACCCAGCGUGCGCGGCGCUCCCCCCGCCAGGUGAUGUCAGCGGGGAGAAGCGAAGUUUGCAAAGCAAACGAGCCGGGAAGGGUAGAGCUGAGCAAACAAACAAACAAAUUGGAAAAAAAAAAUCCAGAUUUUUCACUCGAAGGUCAAUAGGGAUUCAUCGUUCGCUUCCCCUGGCUGCAGGCAGGGUUUGCAAUCCCCAUGCCCCCCGGAUCUCUCUUUUGGGGAAUUUCAGUGCUCGGGUCUGUGUUGUCGCCACUUUCCUCCGGUGGGUUCUUGCAAACAAGCAAACAAACAAACAAAAAAAAAAAAAACCGCACUGUGGCAGGGCUGCGGCCACUGCCCCUGGUCCUUGGGGCGGUGGAGCUCCGGCUGCCCGGGCUGGGGGGUCGGGACCCCCCGGGUCCACACCGCUGCUCCUGCCCCGGGCAGCGGCGGGGACGCGCCGGGAGGGAGCGGGAAGGGGCUGGGGCGGGCUUGCUGCUGCAGAGCAGGGUUUAGCUGCCGUUAUCCCGGCCUCUUGUUUGGGUCAAAACUGCAAAACUAAAGGAAGGGGAAAAAAAAAAUGCCGUGUUUGGUAUCUCUGCCUCCAUCUCUUGACACCCCUGGCUGCGGGAGGGCUGAUACGCAUCGCCCUCAGCUCCCGCUGGCGGAGCCCCGGGCGCGCAUCAAAGCGCGCAUUGUUCGGCGCUCGGGGGGAGCCGACAAGACGGGGCAGAGGCUCCGCACCGCUGCCAGCUCCCCUCGGCCAAAGUUUUCCAAGUCAGCUCCUGCCGGCAGAAUUGCCCUCGGAGAGCCCGGCGGUGCGGGAGAGGAGAGAGCUCCGGGCUCAGCCUAGGCUUGGGCGCAAGGGAAAAUCCCGCGCAGCGCACAAAGCUCUCCGCGGAGCAGCCGCGCAGAUUAGGGGAUGGGUGGGGGGGACACAACCGCGACGGGAUGCGCCCCCCCGUCGCUAA